Molecule: long non-coding RNA, 1066 nt
Organism: Homo sapiens (human)
Lineage: Eukaryota; Metazoa; Chordata; Mammalia; Primates; Hominidae
Gene: THAP3P1
Product: THAP3 pseudogene 1
Source: Ensembl
CGGAGAGGACAGCCCUGGGAGAAACAUGGACACUGCGCUUGAAGAGCUUCAGUUGCCCCCAAAUGCCAAAGGCCCCGUAAAACAGAUCUCGCCACGGAGUCCGCAAGCAGCAGAGACUGUUGGCCGGCCGGCCGGCCCUGCAGGCUUGAGAAGGCCCCCCGACAAGCAGCCAUCUGAUCACAGCUAUGCCCUUUUGGACUUAGAUUCCCUGAAGAAAAAAACUCUUCCUCACUCUGAAGGAAAAUGAAACGCUCCAGAAGCGCUUGCAGGCCCAGAGGCUGGUGAAGCGAAGGAUGUCCAGCUGCCUCCGUGCCUGCAAAGGGCACCGGGGACUCCAGGCCAGACUUGGGCCAGAGCAGCAGAGCUGAGCCCCACAGGCUCCGGACGCAGAGGCGGCAGUGGCACCAGGGCCGGCAGGGCUUUGGAGCUCUGGCUGUGGACAUUUUUGUCUGCUGUGGACAUUGAGAAAGUUGGCCGUGAGGCCUGCCGGGCGGGGGAUUGAAACAGUAACCAAGCUCCCUGGCGAGAGCCCCGACGCCGUCUGAAGGACGUUUAGAGGCAUGGUACUAGGACUGAGCAUGACAAGCUUAUCCUCCCAUAGUAACAGAAGUCCAGGCUGAGGCUGAUUCUGAACUCUGUCCUUUCAGCACGCGCAGAGCGAAGGUCGUUGGAAGCCCCAGUAUGGGAGAUGCUCCUCAGGGAGGAAGCCAUGUGAGGGGGCCGGCUCUGUGGCAGUGAGGCAACUGAAGCUUGAAGAAAUUAAAUGACUUGUUCAAUGUCACAUAGACAAGGACUCAGGGCCAGGCUGAGUUUAGGGUGAGGCUUGUGAGACAGGGCUGUACAACUACAGGAUGUCUUUCUUUGGAUAUUAAUAAAUAUAGUUAUUUGCCUCACAAAUCAGCACAGCCAAUGACUAUUUUGAAACCCAAAUGAAGAAUUUUUCAGAUAGGCUGCAAAUGAGAGUCCUACUUACCAAACCUGAGAGAACUAUGCUAAAUGUACCCUCAGUUCUACAUCACUCCCUAACAAACUCAGAAAUCUAAAUAAAAAUGAAAAUCAUACAUCA